UAAGUUUUCAUUUAUUGUAUGAUACAGCAGUUUAUACAGAAUUGAUUGAUAUAUAUUUUACAGUAUAAUACAUGAUUCAAGUAGUACAUGAAUGUGAUUCCAUACUUGCAGGAAGGAAAUACAAAAGCAUUUCAUCAUGUGUCAUGGCAUCCAAAUGGACCGAGGAUAGACCUUGUAGAUGUUUCUAAAUGCACUCAUUCAUACAUUCAUUCCUCACAUAUUGAUGAUCCAUCACCGCAAAAAGAUUUUAGAAAUGAUACUGCAUAGACAGGCUAAAUCUGAAGCUGAUGGGGGUUGGGAGUUGUUUACAUAGAAUCUUACAUUAGAUUUUACACACGUUAAACACAAAAGCACAAGAAAAAAGAAAAAUGAAAUCGCAACAUUAGAGUCAACACAAUACUUUUUAUGUGAAUUUGCACAAAAAUGUUGCAACUUAUGAAAACAUUGGAGUAAAAAAGUUGAAUGGUUAAUAAAAUUAACAUGUGAUAUAAUUUUUUAUUCUCCAGGAGCUGGAAACUACUAUCUUAAUCUAAUGUUUAUGAGGAAACCAGAGCCAGUCCUCUGAGCAGGAAACACUUCUAACAACUUUACACCUGUGCAAAAUUGAGAGCAUGAUGAUGUUCAGCUGAAAGUUACAGCAGUUAUCAAAAAAUAUUAACAUUACGCCUUAUCUGACUAUAUUUCUUUCUUUUACUUUUACAGUGAAAGAAAAUGGAAGUGUUCAUAGAAGUUUACAGUACUUCGAUUAAGACGCUGCAUGAUGAACAUUACGUGAAAAAUAAAAUAUCUCAAUAAAUCUAGAGGUGAAUGUGGGCAGCUGAAAAUAGCACAUCAUCAAAACUACUAAUGAAGUGAUAAACCUCAAUGUGUACUUAAAUGAUCAUUUAAAUUAUAUGACCCGCAGAGAUCGUGUGUUGUGGCGUCGUGCAGUUCAGCAACUGACAAUCCUCACUGGGAUCAAAAAAAAAAAGCACAAACUGGAUAGCAUUCAAACUCUCACUGAACCACAUUACAGAAAAGUUACCAAGACUUUUUUUCUGUUAUUAUUUCAUUGUUUAUUUUUUCAGUAUUUUUUUUUUUUUACUUUCAGUAUUUUUGCACAUGAAAACACAUGCUGUGUCCCAACACCAGACUAUAUUACAAUUACAUGCAGUCUGAGUAUUUUGAAAACAGAAGCCAAAACGUUAAUAAUAUGAAAGCAAAAACAAUCAUGGAAUUAUUGUGUACACUAAUAAUGCAAAGCCGAAAAGAAAUGACAGAGCAGCUCACAGUCCACGAUUAAAAAAAAAAAUCAUGUAGCCAUACAAUUCAUUUCAUCACUUACUGCAAAGACAUUACACAGCAUCAAGUGGGAUAUCUAUUAAACACUAUUUAGUAUGGAAUUGGGACACAGCUACACAUUCUUAAUGUUUCUGAAAUGAGGUUAAAAGUUGUAGCAUUUGAACAGAAAUUUGUCUACUUUGAGCUUUCCAUGUGAAAUAAAAUGCUUCAGCUCAAAUCUGCAAAUAUCUGCAGAAAAAUCCAACAUGCUCAUUUUCCUUGUGCAAAAUCAUUCCCAGAUUUUGCACGAUGAACACAGAUAAGUAUCAUGUGUGUAGUAUCAACAUCUUAAUAUUAUUAUUAUUUAGAAUGUGGGGGAAAGAGUCCUGAACCAAAAUACUGCUAUAAUUUACUUCCAUUUAUAUAGAGAGUACAUGAAUUGUUUUACAUCAAGAGAGAGAAACCCAGAGAUACUCAUAAAUGUAGAACACCCUUUUUCUUUUUUUUUAAAAUAAAUGAUAAUUUCCAAAAAAAAAAAAAAAAUCAGUUAAACAAGUAAAACACAACACUAAUCCUGAGUCCAUCACCUGGUGUUAAGACUGCAAGCCCUCACAUGCUCAUCAACUACUGAGUUUCAGACAUGACACUGACCUGAUUAUGACAUUUCUGUGCAGCAAAAUCAUCCAGAUUUGCUCAAAAUACUGGACUAAUCUCUCUAAAGGUGUGCAUGUAAAGGCAGACAGAAUGGAAAAAAGUCACACAUUGAUAUGCUCGGUAUAUGAAAACAAA
Molecule: long non-coding RNA, 2049 nt
Organism: Sphaeramia orbicularis (orbiculate cardinalfish)
Lineage: Eukaryota; Metazoa; Chordata; Actinopteri; Kurtiformes; Apogonidae
Exons: 2
Source: RefSeq, a predicted model, not a curated record